AGUGAACGCUGGCGGUAGGCCUAACACAUGCAAGUCGAACGGCAGCACAGGAGAGCUUGCUCUCUGGGUGGCGAGUGGCGGACGGGUGAGGAAUACAUCGGAAUCUACUCUGUCGUGGGGGAUAACGUAGGGAAACUUACGCUAAUACCGCAUACGAACUACGGGUGAAAGCAGGGGAUCUUCGGACCUUGCGCGAUUGAAUGAGCCGAGGUCGGAUUAGCUAGUUGGCGGGGUAAAGGCCCACCAAGGCGACGAUCCGUAGCUGGUCUGAGAGGAUGAGCAGCCACACUGGAACUGAGACACGGUCCAGACUCCUACGGGAGGCAGCAGUGGGGAAUAUUGGACAAUGGGCGCAAGCCUGAUCCAGCCAUACCGCGUGGGUGAAGAAGGCCUUCGGGUUGUAAAGCCCUUUUGUUGGGAAAGAAAUCCAGCUGGCUAAUACCCGGUUGGGAUGACGGUACCCAAAGAAUAAGCACCGGCUAACUUCGUGCCAGCCGCCGCCGUAA
RNAcentral lists this ribosomal RNA (506 nucleotides) under uncultured bacterium. Its description in RNAcentral is "partial 16S ribosomal RNA". It matches the Rfam family "Bacterial small subunit ribosomal RNA", at positions 29 to 523 of the family's 1533-position model. The record is from RNAcentral.